This 263-nucleotide ribosomal RNA is filed under the name Helicobacter pylori. Its description in RNAcentral is "partial 23S ribosomal RNA". It matches the Rfam family "Bacterial large subunit ribosomal RNA", at positions 1877 to 2137 of the family's 2925-position model. The record is from RNAcentral. Lineage: Bacteria; Pseudomonadati; Campylobacterota; Epsilonproteobacteria; Campylobacterales; Helicobacteraceae.
UUAAGAGGAUGCGUCAGUCGCAAGAUGAAGCGUUGAAUUGAAGCCCGAGUAAACGGCGGCCGUAACUAUAACGGUCCUAAGGUAGCGAAAUUCCUUGUCGGUUAAAUACCGACCUGCAUGAAUGGCGUAACGAGAUGGGAGCUGUCUCAACCAGAGAUUCAGUGAAAUUGUAGUGGAGGUGAAAAUUCCUCCUACCCGCGGCAAGACGGGAAGACCCCGUGGACCUUUACUACAACUUAGCACUGCUAAUGGGAAUAUCAUGC